Paramuricea clavata is the source of this 1974-nucleotide non-coding RNA. Lineage: Eukaryota; Metazoa; Cnidaria; Anthozoa; Malacalcyonacea; Plexauridae. The record is from the annotation of a GenBank genome assembly.
GAUGGUGGUGGAUGAUGGAUGGUGGUGGAUGAUGGUGGUGGAUGAUGGUGGUGGAUGAUGGUGGUGGAUGAUGGUGGUGGAUGAUGGUGGUGGAUGAUGGUGGUGGUGAUGAAGGUGAUAGUGUUUUGGUAAUGUGAUCUGUACCAGUACCAAGACUGGACCUUUAGGAAGAACUGAUAGAGCUAUCUAAUAUAACUAAAGUCAGUUUAGUUGCUUUCUUCAGUUUCCUAACCUAGUCUACAUACUUACAGGCUGCAGAACGUCACCCAGACUGGCCAGUCCUUGGACCCAAAGAAGCCAAAUACAGUCCACGUGAGUUUUCCUCCGAUCAACUGAAGGAGGGCUUGAAUGUCAUUGGUUUACAGAUGGGUACGAACAGGGGCGCUUCGCAAGCUGGUAUGACCUUCGGGAAACAACGCUUCAUUAUCGAUUAAUCACCGAACAUUUUCAUCAAAAUUUCACGCUUUUAAUGAAAUGCUACCGUGACUCCAGAUAAUUCGCGCACCUUAUUAUUUUCAUGCAAAAUUUGCUUCAAAUUAUUUUGUAUUAGUCCAUUACUAAGACUAAAUUUUGAUCUAGGCAAGAAGAACAAAAUCCAUCACCACAGCUAGAAAGAGCAUGUUAAAGUUAGUAAAAUUGCAAAGGUUGGCCACGAAAUGUUGUAAAAUGAGGAAAAUAUAGCCCUACGAAAUUUGCAAAUUUUAUUCUUCUUGCCUAAAUCAAAAUUUAGUCUAUAACUGGAAUUGCCCAUUCUAUUGACCAUGAAUAUUCUGAAUGGCCCGAUUCUACUAUAGACGGCCAGAAUAGCUUGUUCUGCUAACCAUUUUCCAUAUACUGUACUAUGUAAAUUCGUGUGAUACUAUACGUAUAUAUAAUUUCUGUAAUACCUAUAGCGUGAUAAUAUUAGUAUAAAUUUUAAGUUUCAUAGGUAUUCCUUUCGUUAUGGACAAUUUAUCAUAAUGUAAUAAGUCUGUAUUAGCUUGUAAUGGCCGUCUAUUUGAAGGCGAUGAUGGUAAAGGUUGGGGGAAAUAUUGAAAUUAAAAAUUUUUGCAUCAACGUGAUUUGCUUGUGGUUUAUUUUAGAAAUAUCGUCGUUUUGUACAAAGAAGAAAUUGUUUAGUUAUUUACAGGGACAUGUGUCUUCCUACCAAACACAGAAAUUUUCUCCGAUUGCAAGUAAUCAAAUUGGUUUGUCAAAUUGGUUUGGUGGGGGCUGGCACCGAAGAGAAAUGUUUUUCUUGAAAAAAAUUUUUUGCUUAUCCAACUAUUAAAAAAUCUUUCGAAUUUUUUACCUAACCUCAAAUAUCAAUUAAAAAGAAAUACCCACUCCUGGCGAAAAUCGUUUCAAAAGGAUACCAUUCAGUUGUCACACAUGUCCUUUACUACUUCUGUGACACGAGUUUGAUAACUGCUUGUGCAAUUUUCUGCAGUAUAAAGUUUUAUAUUGUGUCUGCACAUGUACUUUCUUUGGAGACACCAUUUGCCUCCUGACAAAUCAGAAAAUUGAUGAUUGAUUUACAUAUCGUGUAUUAACAUAUGACUGUUGACAUUGCUUUUUAGUCUUCUAUAUUUGAAUGAGUCAUGCUUUGGAAAUGACAAUAAAUUUUUAUUACCCAACCCUUGAGUUGUUUCGUUUUUCAUUUACCCAACCUUUUACUCACUCAAAAUUUUGUUUACCCAACCCUUUUCUCUUCGGUGCCCUAAACUCCCCAUGUAAUCAUAGUUAAUGGAAUAGAUGGUUUGGAAACUCAUUAGAAUAACAAUAUAACUCACUAUCUAUGUUAGUCAACGUUUAUUCAUAAAUCUGGUCGUUCACCGUCACGUGUGUAUUGUAUUUUUGCCCAACUAACCAAUAGCAAUGUUUUAGGAAAGUUACCUAUCCGCGACUCGAACAAUAGAGUAAAUUGGAAAUUACUAUUGGUGGAUUUGGCAAGAACACAAUACCCACGUGACGGUGAAAGACCAGAUUUAUGAA